Tympanuchus pallidicinctus (lesser prairie-chicken) is the source of this 168-nucleotide long non-coding RNA. RefSeq lists it as uncharacterized. NCBI's taxonomy places the organism in Eukaryota, Metazoa, Chordata, Aves, Galliformes, Phasianidae. The transcript has 2 exons. The record is from RefSeq and is a predicted model, not a curated record.
AAGUAGCUUCAGUUGUCAGGAAUUGAAUGUAUUUGACUUUCCUUCUCCUGAAGAAUACGUAGGAUAAAAAACAAUGAACCAAAAAUGGGAUGUCACCCAAGAAAAAACUGAGAAGCAAAUAGAACCUGGAAAAAUGAGAACACAGGAAAACAAGGCACAAUACAGAAG